This 398-nucleotide unclassified non-coding RNA is filed under the name soil metagenome. Its description in RNAcentral is "partial contains 5.8S ribosomal RNA, internal transcribed spacer 2, and large subunit ribosomal RNA". The stretch from base 1 to 120 matches the Rfam family "5.8S ribosomal RNA", at positions 35 to 154 of the family's 154-position model. The record is from RNAcentral.
GAUGAAGAACGCAGCAAAAUGCGAUACGUAGUGUGAAUUGCAGAAUUCCGUGAACCAUCGAAUCUUUGAACGCAUAUUGCGCUCGAGGCCUCGGCCGAGAGCAUGUCCGCCUCAGCGUCGGGUUAAUCCUCGCUCCCACUCCCCUCUACGGGUUGUGCGUGGGCGGAGCUGGCAGUCCCAGUGCGCGCAAGUGCUCUGGGUCUGCUGAAGCCGAGAGGUUGAAUCAUGGACCCGUCAAACGGGCCGCAGUUGGUUAGGCAGCCUCGUGCUCGCUCUCAUCUAGCUGUUGGCCUGGGUCAGUGCGUUCGGCCCCCAAACAGGAACCCUUCAACGUCAUUACCUCGACCUGAGCUCAGGCAAGAACACCCGCUGAACUUAAGCAUAUCAAUAAGCGGGGA